Molecule: ribosomal RNA, 433 nt
Filed under: uncultured bacterium
Lineage: Bacteria
Description: partial 16S ribosomal RNA
Rfam family: Bacterial small subunit ribosomal RNA
Source: RNAcentral
AACGAACGCUGGCGGCAUGCCUAACACAUGCAAGUCGAACGAGACCUUCGGGUCUAGUGGCGCACGGGUGCGUAACGCGUGGGAACCUGCCCUUAGGUUCGGAAUAACUCUCCGAAAGGGGUGCUAAUACCGGAUAAUGUCUUCGGACCAAAGAUUUAUCGCCUUUGGAUGGGCCCGCGUUGGAUUAGCUAGUUGGUAGGGUAAAAGACUACCAAGGCGACGAUCCAUAGCUGGUCUGAGAGGAUGAUCAGCCACACUGGGACUGAGACACGGCCCAGACUCCUACGGGAGGCAGCAGUGGGGAAUAGUGGACAAUGGGCGAAAGCCUGAUCCAGCAAUGCCGCGUGAGUGAUGAAGGCCUUAGGGUUGUAAAGCUCUUUUACCCGGGAUGAUAAUGACAGUACCGGGAGAAUAAGCUCCGGCUAACUCCGUG